GUCAGGAUAGCUCAGCUG
Molecule: transfer RNA, 18 nt
Filed under: Leichhardtia coronata
Lineage: Eukaryota; Viridiplantae; Streptophyta; Magnoliopsida; Gentianales; Apocynaceae
Description: Marsdenia coronata partial tRNA-Phe
Source: RNAcentral